GGCGAAACUGAAACAUCUCAGUAGCUGGAGGAAAAGACAUCAACCGAGAUUCCGUUAGUAGUGGCGAGCGAACGCGGACCAGGCCAGUGCCUUUCAUUCAAGUAGCAGAACACUCUGGAAAGUGUGGCCAUAGCGGGUGACAGCCCCGUAUGCGAAACUGAUGUGGAAGGACUCGAGUAGGGCGGGACACGUGUAAUCCUGUCUGAACAUGGGGGGACCACCCUCCAAGCCUAAAUACUCGUACAUGACCGAUAGCGAACUAGUACCGUGAGGGAAAGGUGAAAAGCACCCCGAUGAGGGGAGUGAAACAGUACCUGAAACGGAUUGCCUACAAGCAGUAGGAGCCUCUUUAUGGGGUGACUGCGUACCUCUUGCAUAAUGGGUCUGUGACUUAAUGUUUCAAGCAAGCUUAAGCCGAUAGGUGUAGGCGCAGCGAAAGCGAGUCUGAAUAGGGCGCUUUAGUUUGAAGUAUUAGACCCGAAACCCGGCGAUCUAUGCAUGACCAGGAUGAAGGUGCGGUAACACGCACUGGAGGUCCGAACCGAUUAACGUUGAAAAGUUACCGGAUGAGUUGUGCUUAGGGGUGAAAGGCCAAUCAAGCCGGGAAAUAGCUGGUUCUCCGCGAAAACUAUUGAGGUAGUGCCUCGAGCGGACACCAUAGGGGGUAGAGCACUGGAUGGUUGCGGGGGUCGCGAGAUCUACCAAUACUAACCAAACUCCGAAUACCUAUGAGUGAUACUCGGGAGACAGACGGCGGGUGCUAAGGUCCGUCGUCAAAAGGGAAACAGCCCUGACCUACAGCUAAGGUCCCCAAGUCGUGUCUAAGUGGGAAAGCAUGUGGAAAUCCCAAAACAACCAGGAGGUUGGCUUAGAAGCAGCCAUCCUUUAAAGAAAGCGUAACAGCUCACUGGUCUAAACAAGGGUUUCUGCGGCGAAGAUGUAACGGGGCUCAAGACACGCACCGAAGCUUAGGGUGUGCACUUUGUGCACGCGGUAGCGGAGCGUUCCGUAAGCCUGCGAAGCGAUCUGGUAAUGGGUCGUGGAGGUAUCGGAAGUGCGAAUGCAGACAUGAGUAGCGAUAAAGAGGGUGAGAUGCCCUCUCGCCGAAAGACCAAGGGUUCCUGCGCAAGGCUAAUCCGCGCAGGGUGAGCCGGCCCCUAAGACGAGCCCGAAGGGGGUAGUCGAUGGGAACCACGUUAAUAUUCGUGGGCCUGGUGGUGUGUGACGGAUCUCGUGUGUUGUUCUCCCUUAUUGGAUUGGGAGGGCUUCGAAGAGGUUCCAGGAAAUAGCCCCACCGUAUAGACCGUACCCGAAACCGACACAGGUGGUCAGGUAGAGUAUACCAAGGCGCUUGAGAGAAGUGUCCUGAAGGAACUCGGCAAAUUGCCUCCGUACCUUCGGAAGAAGGAGGCCCUCAUCGUGCGCAAGCAUUUUGAGGGGGCACAGGCCAGGGGGUAGCGACUGUUUAGCAAAAACACAGGGCUCUGCUAAGUCGGCUUCAAGACGACGUAUAGGGCCUGACGCCUGCCCGGUGCCUGAAGGUUAAGUGGAGGGGUGCAAGCUCUGAAAUGAAGCCCAGGUAAACGGCGGCCGUAACUAUAACGGUCCUAAGGUAGCGAAAUUCCUUGUCGGGUAAGUUCCGACCUGCACGAAUGGCGUAACGACCUCCC
This 1670-nucleotide ribosomal RNA is filed under the name Euprymna scolopes. RNAcentral describes it as "bacterial LSU rRNA". It matches the Rfam family "Bacterial large subunit ribosomal RNA", at positions 187 to 2013 of the family's 2925-position model. The record is from RNAcentral. Lineage: Eukaryota; Metazoa; Mollusca; Cephalopoda; Sepiida; Sepiolidae.